AGUGAAUAGAUACCCAGGUAGUCCCAGCUGUAAACGAUGCGCGUUAGGUGUAUCGGUGACCACGAGUCACCGAGGUGCCGAAGGGAAACCGUGAAACGUGCCGCCUGGGAAGUACGGUCGCAAGGCUGAAACUUAAAGGAAUUGGCGGGGGAGCACCACAACAGGUGGAGCCUGCGGUUUAAUCGGACUCAACGCCGGGAAGCUCACCGGAUAAGACAGCUGAAUGAUAGCCGGGUUGAAGACUCUGCUUGACUAGCUGAGAGGAGGUGCAUGGCCGUCGUCAGUUCGUACUGUGAAGCAUCCUGUUAAGUCAGGCAACGAGCGAGACCCACGCCAACAGUUGCCAGCAUGUCCUCCGGGAUGGUGGGGACACUGUUGGGACCGCCUCUGCUAAAGAGGAGGAAGGAAUGGGCAACGGUAGGUCAGCAUGCCCCGAAUUAUCCGGGCUACACGCGGGCUACAAUGGUCAGGACAAUGGGUAUCAACACCGAAAGGUGAAGGCAAUCUCCUAAACCUGUCCUUAGUUCGGAUUGUGGG
Molecule: ribosomal RNA, 537 nt
Filed under: uncultured bacterium
Lineage: Bacteria
Description: bacterial SSU rRNA
Rfam family: Archaeal small subunit ribosomal RNA
Source: RNAcentral